This 20-nucleotide microRNA is filed under the name Bos taurus (domestic cattle). RNAcentral describes it as "bta-miR-194b". Its record names the gene bta-miR-194b. The record is from miRBase by way of RNAcentral. Lineage: Eukaryota; Metazoa; Chordata; Mammalia; Artiodactyla; Bovidae.
CACAUGGAGUUGCUGUUACA